RNAcentral lists this ribosomal RNA (164 nucleotides) under Coursetia dubia. RNAcentral's name for it is "5.8S ribosomal RNA". It matches the Rfam family "5.8S ribosomal RNA". Rfam says of the family: 5.8S ribosomal RNA (5.8S rRNA) is a component of the large subunit of the eukaryotic ribosome. It is transcribed by RNA polymerase I as part of the 45S precursor that also contains 18S and 28S rRNA. The record is from RNAcentral. Lineage: Eukaryota; Viridiplantae; Streptophyta; Magnoliopsida; Fabales; Fabaceae.
UACAAUGACUGUCGGCAACGGAUAUCUCGGCUCUUGCAUCGAUGAAGAACGUAGCGAAAUGCGAUACUUGGUGUGAAUUGCAGAAUCCCGUGAACCAUCGAGUCUUUGAACGCAAGUUGCGCCCGAAGCCAUUAGGCCGAGGGCACGUCUGCCUGGGUGUCACA